GGUUGGCCCCAGCCCCUGCCCCCGCCCGCGCCGCUUCCCGGGGCCGCCGGCGGUGCCUGAGUGACGUGCUCGCUGCCGCCGCGCCGCGGUGCCGCCUGGGAGUUGUAGUCUCCGGCAGCGCGGCUUCGAAGUCCGUCCCCGUCCCUCAGUCUCCAGAGCCUGACUGCCGGCCUCGGGCCGCAGUGGGGACUACGCGGGGCCGAAGGAAUCCUCCCGGGUAGAUAAGCCUGGCCUCGGACCCUCCCUGGGACGCGGUGGGCCGGACGCCUGGAGGAGGAGAGGAGGAAAGGGCUGAGCGCUCCUCACAGUCCCUUCGAGGGCCGCGGCCCAAGGGCCUUUCUGCUCAGGAAUGAAGCUGAGGACGGGCAGCAUCUCGGGGAUGCUUCAGCCUCUGCAGAUGACUUGGCUUAGAGGACCUGUGGGAUGUGCGGAGAAGGAGAACUGGGGGAGAGACCUUGAAGUGUUUGGCGAGUGGGUGGAUGAAGCGCCUUCAGUAAAGAUUGUGGGCAUAAUCUCUGGCGAAGGAUCUGGUGUUAGUUAAGGGUUUUUCACCGGUAUGAAUUGUGUGAUGUCGAGUAAGUUCUGCUUGAAGACGGAAGGCACCCCCACAUUCUUUACACCCAUAAGGUUUCUCACCAGUAUGAAGUCUAAAAUGUUGAGUAAGAUGAUACCGGCGACUAAAGGUCUUUCCACAUUCCUUACAUUCAUAUGGAAUCUCACCAGUGUGAAUUCUUUGAUGUAAGGUAAGUUGAUAACUACAAAUAAAAGCAUUCCCACAUUUGUCACAUAUGUAGGGUUUCUUCCCAGUGUGGAUUCUGUGAUGUUGAGUAAGAUGAUAGUGCCGACUAAAGGUCUUCCCACAUUUGUUACAUUCAUAAGGUUUCUCACCAGUAUGAAUUCUCUGAUGUUGAAUAA
Molecule: long non-coding RNA, 915 nt
Filed under: Ovis aries (sheep)
Lineage: Eukaryota; Metazoa; Chordata; Mammalia; Artiodactyla; Bovidae
Description: lncRNA (ENSOARG00000026926.1)
Source: RNAcentral